RNAcentral lists this ribosomal RNA (497 nucleotides) under uncultured bacterium. RNAcentral's name for it is "partial 16S ribosomal RNA". It matches the Rfam family "Bacterial small subunit ribosomal RNA", at positions 28 to 507 of the family's 1533-position model. The record is from RNAcentral.
GAUGAACGCUGGCGGCGUGCCUAAUACAUGCAAGUCGCGCGAACAGACGAGGAGCUUGCUCCUCUGACGUUAGCGGCGGACGGGUGAGUAACACGUGGAUAACCUACCUAUAAGACUGGGAUAACUUCGGGAAACCGGAGCUAAUACCGGAUAAUAUAUUGAACCGCAUGGUUCAAUAGUGAAAGACGGUUUUGCUGUCACUUAUAGAUGGAUCCGCGCCGCAUUAGCUAGUUGGUAAGGUAACGGCUUACCAAGGCAACGAUGCGUAGCCGACCUGAGAGGGUGAUCGGCCACACUGGAACUGAGACACGGUCCAGACUCCUACGGGAGGCAGCAGUAGGGAAUCUUCCGCAAUGGGCGAAAACCUGACGGAGCAACGCCGCGUGAGUGAUGAAGGUCUUCGGAUCGUAAAACUCUGUUAUUAGGGAAGAACAAAUGUGUAAGUAACUAUGCACGUCUUGACGGUACCUAAUCAGAAAGCCACGGCUAACUACGUG